Molecule: ribosomal RNA, 448 nt
Filed under: uncultured bacterium
Lineage: Bacteria
Description: bacterial SSU rRNA
Rfam family: Bacterial small subunit ribosomal RNA
Source: RNAcentral
UGGGGAAUCUUGCGCAAUGGGCGAAACCCUGACGCAGCGACGCCGCGUGAGUGAUGAAGGCCUUCGGGUUGUAAAGCUCUGUGGGGAGAGACGAAUAAGUGCAGCCCAAUACGCUGCAUGAUGACGGUAUCUCCUUAGCAAGCACCGGCUAACUCUGUGCCAGCAGCCGCGGUAAGACAGAGGGUGCAAACGUUGUUCGGAAUUACUGGGCGUAAAGCGAGUGUAGGCGGUCUCCUAAGUCAGGUGUGAAAGCCCAGGGCUCAACCCGGGAAGUGCACUCGAAACUGCGAGGCUAGAGUACCGGAGAGGUUGGUGGAAUUCUCGGUGUAGAGGUGAAAUUCGUAGAUAUCGAGAGGAACACCGGUGGCGAAGGCGGCCAACUGGACGAAUACUGACGCUGAGACUCGAAAGCGUGGGGAGCAAACAGGAUUAGAUACCCCUGUAGUCC